UACGUAGGGCGCAAGCGUUGUCCGGAAUUAUUGGGCGUAAAGAGCUCGUAGGCGGUUUGUCGCGUCUGCUGUGAAAUCCCGAGGCUCAACCUCGGGCUUGCAGUGGGUACGGGCAGACUAGAGUGCGGUAGGGGAGACUGGAAUUCCUGGUGUAGCGGUGGAAUGCGCAGAUAUCAGGAGGAACACCGAUGGCGAAGGCAGGUCUCUGGGCCAUUACUGACACUGAGAAGCGAAAGCAUGGGGAGCGAACAGG
This 253-nucleotide ribosomal RNA is filed under the name uncultured bacterium. Its description in RNAcentral is "partial 16S ribosomal RNA". It matches the Rfam family "Bacterial small subunit ribosomal RNA", at positions 524 to 776 of the family's 1533-position model. The record is from RNAcentral.